This is a non-coding RNA of Podarcis lilfordi (Lilford's wall lizard), 934 nucleotides long. The record is from the annotation of a GenBank genome assembly. Lineage: Eukaryota; Metazoa; Chordata; Lepidosauria; Squamata; Lacertidae.
AACAGACAUUCCUGAUUCUGCAGUCGAUUGUGAGGUCAGAGCCUGAGCAGGGUCUUCCCCUGCCAACUCUGGGCCCCGGGGGAAACUCCCUUUCCCUGGCCUGUGGCCCCACCUGCCACGUUGCCCAGCUCUUGGCCCACCCUUUAAUUUACCCCCACCAAGGGGGGGGAGGCAGCUGGAUCUAGGCUCCCCUUAGAGUUCCCCCAAACACCCCCAGCCUUGCAGGAAGUAAGGGGCCUCAACUGUGGUCCAGUUUCUGGUGCCUCCUUAAAACUCACCUGUCCGCCCAGGUGUUGGCUGGCUGGAGGUUCUCCAUGGGCUCCUUGUGGAUUGUCGGUUCCAGCAGUUUGAAUGUUCUUGCCUUUUGAUUUUAGUGUGGAGGCUGAACUGCCUUAUGGAGCCACCUUCUCUCUGCUUGGGUGCGCACCCCCACUCACCACCUCUGGGUAUCUUUCACAAAACACGUUUGUGCUCCCACGUUUGUGUAUUUGAUUACUUAUUUCCAUGUAAUAUUCCACCUUUCCUCUGGGAAACUCAAGGAGGUGCUCUCCCCCUCUGCAAAUUAUCUUCACACCCUGUGAGGUAGGCUAGGCCGAAAGCCUGAGACCAGGCCCCAGGUCGCCCAGGGAGCUUUGUGGCCGAGUGGGAAUUUGAACCCUGGGCUCUCAGGGAUGGAAUUCUAAUUUUUAACUACCCUGGUUUUUCCAUUUCCGUUUUCUUCCUGUAUUUCAGUGCCCAUCUGGUCCAGCCUUGUGUUUUUGCAGAUGCCUCUUAUGCGAAGCCCACAAGCAGAGCUGUCCCCACUUCCAAUGGGUCCCAGCAGCUUGUGUUGGGGGGAAUUUACUGCCUCCCUGUACUGGACACAGCAGCACACAGCUAUGGGGGGAACAGCAGCCCCCAAGGGCCUUGUGCACCUCCGUGAAUUCAUCUAAAC